CUGCAUUGCGCGGAUUAUUUACUAAGAAUAUAAUACAAAGUUUUGCUUGCAUCUCAAGCCUUGAAAAUUAAAAGGAAAAGGCACUUGUGCCCAAAAUGUUCUAUUUCCUUGUCAACAAUUCGCUUACCAUAUUCGAUCUUAGAAACACCUGAACACAUCGACAGCUCCCAGCAGCGCGAUGCUUUACUUGCAACUGCUAGAAGAUGAUCUUCCCUUAAAGCAACAAGGGCUAAACGAGUUCCUCUCCUCCGAAUAUUCAUAUGCAAUAUGCUUCAAAAAUCACAAAAUUCAAUAAUCGUUAGUGUUGUAUUGAACACCAUAGACAUAGACCUGGACAUGAAAAUGAACUUGUGGCUACAUGAAAUAACCUCGCCGAUUUCUGAAGAUGCUCCAGUGAUGAUAAUUACCUUCCCCCGAUUUCAUUAUAUAUAUAUAUGAAUUUAUUUAUAUAGCUAAGGUGAAGAAAUGGUGACAUGGUAACAAGGCUGAAUACGAGAGUUUAGAAAAAUUAAAUAAGUAGAAGAAUGCUUGAUGAUCUAAUCUACUACUUCGAGCUCUAUAUAUCAGACGAGAAAGAAUCUGAAGAUGAAACUGGGAGGGAAAUUUCUUGAUGGG
This 615-nucleotide unclassified non-coding RNA is filed under the name Hevea brasiliensis (rubber tree). The record is from RNAcentral. Lineage: Eukaryota; Viridiplantae; Streptophyta; Magnoliopsida; Malpighiales; Euphorbiaceae.